GACGAACGCUGGCGGCGUGCCUAAUACAUGCAAGUAGGACGCAGUUGCGAACGGGUGAGUAACGCGUAGGUAACUACCUAUUAGAGGGGGAUAACUAUUGGAAACGAUAGCUAAUACCGCAUACUAGUAGAUGGACCUGCGUUGUAUUAGCUAGUAGGUAGGGUAAUGGCCUACCUAGGCAACGAUACAUAGCCGACCUGAGGGGGUGAUCGGCAAAACGUGGACUGAGACACGGGCCAGACUCCUACGGGGGGCAGCAGGAGGGAAGUUUCGGGAAGGGGGCGAACGCUGACCGAGCAACGCCGGGUGAGUGAAGAAGGUUUUCGGAUCGUAAAGCUAUGUUGUUAAGGAAGCGGUACUUAACCAGAAAGGGACGGCUAACUACGUGCCAGCAGCCGCGGUAAUAC
RNAcentral lists this ribosomal RNA (407 nucleotides) under uncultured bacterium. RNAcentral describes it as "partial 16S ribosomal RNA". It matches the Rfam family "Bacterial small subunit ribosomal RNA", at positions 28 to 526 of the family's 1533-position model. The record is from RNAcentral.